GUACUCUGGUUUCUCUUCAUAUCAUAUAAAUCUUUUGCUUUUUACUAAAGAUCUCUGUGGAGAGGAACAGUUCUGAGUAAAAAUCUUAAAAAAGGACAGAAUGAACUUCUUU
The sequence is a small nuclear RNA, 112 nucleotides long. Its record names the gene U5. It matches the Rfam family "U5 spliceosomal RNA". Rfam says of the family: U5 RNA is a component of both types of known spliceosome. The record is from Ensembl.